RNAcentral lists this ribosomal RNA (471 nucleotides) under uncultured bacterium. RNAcentral describes it as "bacterial SSU rRNA". It matches the Rfam family "Bacterial small subunit ribosomal RNA", at positions 335 to 797 of the family's 1533-position model. The record is from RNAcentral.
ACUCUUACGGGAGGCAGCAGUGGGGAAUAUUGCACAAUGGGGGAAACCCUGAUGCAGCCAUGCCGCGUGUGUGAAGAAGGCCUUCGGGUUGUAAAGCACUUUCAGCGAGGAGGAAAGGGUGUGUGCUAAUACCAUACAUCUGUGACGUUUACUCGCAGAAGAAGCACCGGCUAACUCCGUGCCAGCAGCCGCGGUAAUACGGAGGGUGCGAGCGUUAAUCGGAAUUACUGGGCGUAAAGCGUGCGCAGGCGGUUUGUUAAGCGAGAUGUGAAAGCCCCGGGCUCAACCUGGGAAUUGCAUUUCGAACUGGCAGCUAGAGUCUUGUAGAGGGGGGUAGAAUUUCAGGUGUAGCGGUGAAAUGCGUAGAGAUCUGAAGGAAUACCGGUGGCGAAGGCGGCCCCCUGGCACAAAGACUGACGCUCAUGCACGAAAGCGUGGGGAGCAAACAGGAUUAGAUACCCUGGUAGGCGU